CACCACCCUCAGAGCUUGCGUACACUGGUGUCCCAUACUUCCUGGCAGAGUUUGAUGAUGGGGGAAAUGUGUUCACGAGACCAUUUUCUCACCAACUCACGCAGACAAACAACCAGAUCACUGAAUAUAGGUUAUAGUAUGUUUCUACUACUUUGAGCUCAUGAGGUAAACAGCACUCUCAAGUGAGUAGGUAAGAACAUAUCCGUGAGUCUCGUCACACCGACAAUGCACACCUCUAACCUCUCUAUUGCAUACUCAGCAAAUGUCUCUUCCACAAAUCUGUCAUUAUACCUAUCGAGUGAACACACAAACUGUUCUAGUUCCUGGAACAAUACGUACGGACGUUUCUCUCUCCAAUUUGGAAGCUGCAGGGAGGUGUUGGCUGAUCCUCUCGUUCUGAAUCUGCCCAAUCGGAUCAACUGGAAGUCGUGUCUGGCAAAAAAGGAUGAGGAGACGAAAGCUGCUCUAGAAAUGAGGAAGAACUUCGAACUUUCACAACUGAUAACGAUGAUUAAUUUCUUCAUUUUCACUUUCACUUUUGUAUGAUUGACAUUUUGUGUGUUUGUUG
This is a long non-coding RNA of Halichondria panicea, 568 nucleotides long. RefSeq lists it as uncharacterized. The transcript has 3 exons. NCBI's taxonomy places the organism in Eukaryota, Metazoa, Porifera, Demospongiae, Suberitida, Halichondriidae. The record is from RefSeq and is a predicted model, not a curated record.